RNAcentral lists this non-coding RNA (29 nucleotides) under Mus musculus (house mouse). Lineage: Eukaryota; Metazoa; Chordata; Mammalia; Rodentia; Muridae. The record is from RNAcentral.
CCUACCAAUCUGAAAGAGACCGUUUUCCC